Molecule: ribosomal RNA, 253 nt
Filed under: uncultured bacterium
Lineage: Bacteria
Description: partial 16S ribosomal RNA
Rfam family: Bacterial small subunit ribosomal RNA
Source: RNAcentral
UACGUAGGGGGCGAGCGUUGUCCGGAUUUAUUGGGCGUAAAGAGCGUGUAGGCGGCCAGAUAAGUCCGCUGUGAAAUCUCGAGGCUCAACUUCGAGCUGUCGGUGGAAACUAUCUGGCUAGAGUCCGGAAGAGGAGAAUGGAAUUCCUGGUGUAGCGGUGAAAUGCGCAGAUAUCAGGAAGAACACCCGUGGCGAAGGCGGUUCUCUGGGACGGUACUGACGCUGAGACGCGAAAGCGUGGGGAGCGAACAGG